RNA transcript from Daucus carota subsp. sativus, 8468 nucleotides. RefSeq lists it as uncharacterized. The record is from RefSeq and is a predicted model, not a curated record. The transcript has 37 exons. Lineage: Eukaryota; Viridiplantae; Streptophyta; Magnoliopsida; Apiales; Apiaceae.
UUUAACUGCACUACCAAUUAGAUGUCAGAGAAGGUCAGCAGGAUAAUAUUUUCUCCAAAAAAUAUAAUUGCCUAUAUUUAUACCAGAAUCGGGGCCAAAGAAAUAUCCAAUAUUCAUUCCGAUCAGUUUACUCCAGCAAACCCCCUCCCAUCAUCACUUCAAAUCUUUAAUCACCAAUUUUAAUAAACAUACUCUCUCUCUCUCUCUCUCUCUCUCUCUCUCUCUCUCUCUCUCUCUCUCUCUCAUGCAUCUACACUAGUUAAUCAUGGCAGACAAAGACACAGAGCUUCUCUCUCGAGUCGUCGCAAACCACCUCUUCUUAGGCCAAUUCGAACCCUUUCGAGCCACUCUCUUAACUCUCCGAUCUCGAAACCCUAACUUAGCUCGCUCUAUUCUACAAACUAUUGUUUCCAAAGCCGGACGAUUAGAUAACUUGUUGUUCUCGCCUUCCUGUCCUUCUCCGGCUCAUCUGACUCAUCUAUGCACUCUCGAAUUACUCCAAUUCAAUGAUCCCUGUUUGGAUGUGUGGAGUUUCGGAGUUGAUUCGCUUCGGUUGCGGGCCGAGUUUUUGCUUUGUGUUCAGAUUAUUAGUUCUAGAGUAGCUGACAGUGUUAAGGAAAGUGUUAGUUUGGGUGAGAAUGUUGAAGGUGAGGGGGAGGAUAGGGUUUUGGCGGGAAACGAGGAGGUUUUUAGGGUUUUGGAGAGGGUUUUGGAGGUGGGAGUGAGUAGGUUGAGGCCGAGUGUGGUGGAUGAGGGUGAUGAGGGAGUAGGUGUGGAGUUUGAGGAAGAGGAGUUUGGUUGUUUGAAGAAGGCUGUGUUGGAGAAUGCGGAGAUGUUUGAGGCGUUGUGUGAUAAUGUGGAGAAGCAGGUUGGGUUGGUCGAGAGCGAUGAGUUGGGGUUAGGGAGGAAGGUGGAUGGGGAUUUUAAGGUGUUUAGGAUGAUUCAAAGGGUUGUGCAGGUAGCCCAUUUGGAUGCCAUGAAUGAGUGUUUAAAUGAAGGUGACGAAGAUGGAAUGAUUGGUCAUGUUCGGUUUCUUCAUUUGGAUCAUGGAGUGGAGGAGUCUAGAUACCGCAUGGCUUUGCAAGAUCUGGUCAAGAGGGUUUUGUUGGAAAAGGAUGAAUAUGGAGACGCCUGGCUGGCCAUCAGGCGUAAACUGUUAUCACUCUAUGCGGAAGCUCUGUCUUCAGCCUGCACACGUCUUGUUCAAAUGAUUCAGAUUAUUCAAGAUGAUCUUCUAGCUGAAGAGAUUGAACUUUACAGAGCUUCUGGCAGCAAUCAGAUAUUACCUCCAAUUGAGCGUUUGCUGAAUUACAUUUCUGGACUAAAAUCAGAGACAGGUGACACGACGUCAUCUUUGAAGAUGGCAACUUACUCGUGCAUGAGAGACUUGUAUCAUUAUGCUCGUGUUUCUGGCGUUCAUGUAUUAGAGUCUGUCAUGAAUAUUGCCCUGUCUGCUGUCAAGAGGGAGCAACUUCAAGAAGCGAGUGAUGUUCUCUCACUGUUUCCGCGACUUCAACCCCUAGUAGUUGUCAUGGGUUGGGAUCUGUUGUCCGGCAAAACCAAAUUAAGAAAGAAGCUAAUGCAGCUUCUAUGGACGACCAAAUCACAGGUUCUCCAGCUGGAAGAGUCUUCCCAAAAUGGUAAUUCACACAAGGUAUCUUGUGUUGAGCAUCUUUGUGAUUUUCUAUGUUAUCAACUGGACCUUGCUACUUUUGUUGCUUCCGUCAAUUCUGGCCAAUCGUGGAGUUUGAAGUCCUCGUUGUUGUUGUCGAGAAGAGAACUUUCACAGAAUGAAGUUGAUAUCCAUUUCGAUCCGUUUGUUGAAAAUUUGGUUCUGGAAAGAUUGUCUGUGGGAAGUCCUAUUCGGGUUCUGUUUGAUGUAGUGCCAAGCAUAAAAUAUCAAGAUGCUAUUGAAUUAAUUAGCAUGCAGCCGAUCACCUCCAAUCUAGCAGCCUGGAACAGGAUGCAAGAUGUUGAAUUGAUGCACAUGCGUUAUGCACUGGAAUCUGCUGUUAGUGCACUGGAAGUCAUGGGCAGAAGUGUGGCUGAUGUGAAAGAAAUCUACCAAGUGGCGUUGUGCUAUUUAAAAGACCUGAGAAGCCACCUGGAGGCCAUCAAAAUUACCCCUCGCAAGAUAUUGAUGAUCAAUAUUAUUAUAUCCCUCCUCCAUAUGGAUGAUCUGAAAGCAACACCUCUUGGGGCAAGCCAUUCAGAAUUACCUAAUACAUUUAGCGUUGACUAUGCUGACGCUGAAAGUCACGGAGAAGGAAACGAGAUGGUUGUAUCUUUCACAAAGUUGAUACUUAAAAUAUUGCAGCAGAAUCUACCUUUGGCCGUAGCUGAACAGGAUAGUUCACUGAAUGCUAAUCAAAGACAAGGCUUGGAGUGGAGAAGCCUACAUGCUAAACGUUUUAUUGAAGAUUGGGAAUGGCGUUUGUCAAUCUUACAGUGUCUUCUACCAUUAUCUGAACGCCAAUGGAGCUGGAAGGAAGCGUUAACUGUAUUACGUGCAGCCCCAUCAAAGCUACUUAAUCUUUGCAUGCAAAGGGCUAAAUUUGACAUUGGAGAAGAAACUGUACAUCGUUUUGGAUUAUCACCAGAAGAUAGAGCAACACUUGAAUUGGCUGAAUGGGUGGACGGUGCAUUUAGACGAACAUCUGUGGAAGAUGCUGUGUCACGUGCUGCUGAUGGAACCUCUGUUGGUCAAGAUUUGGAUUUUUCCUCUCUUCAUUCCCAAUUAGGUCCUCUGGCAGCAAUUUUGCUGUGCAUUGAUGUUGCUGCAUCUUCUUCAAAAUCUGCAGAUGUGUCUUUGAAGCUUCUAGACCAGGCUCAGGUUAUGUUAUCUGAGAUCUAUCCAGGUGGUAAUCCAAAGAGAGGGUCAACCUAUUGGGAUCAGAUUCAUGAAAUGGCUAUAAUUUCUGUUGUGAGACGUCUUUUGAAGCACCUUCAUGAUUUGUUGGAACAGGAUAAACCACCAGUUCUUCGGGCUGUCUUGUCUGGGGAGUAUAUCCUAUCUUCAUCACAGGAUUUGAACCGACAAGGACACAGGGAACGUGCUCUUGUUAUGCUACAUCAAAUGAUUGAUGAUGCUCAUAUGGGAAAACGACAGUUUCUGAGUGGUAAGCUUCACAAUCUUGCUAGAGCCGUUGCAGACGAAGAAAACGAAAAAAAAUCUUUAAAAUCGGAGGGAUCGUAUAAUGACAUGAAGGCUGUCUUAAAUCAUGACAAGGAUGGGGUCCUUGGAUUGGGGUUAGUAGUCUCCAAGCAAUCAUUGCCUGGUUUGGCAUCUGGAGAAAUUGGUACAAAUUCAACUGGAUCUGAAACUAAAGAGACCGGAAAGAGAUUGUUUGGUCCUUUGAAUGUGAAGUCUUCUACAUAUCUCUCCCAAUUUAUCCUCCAUAUUGCUGCCAUUGGUGACAUAGUGGAUGGGGCAGAUACAACUCAUGAUUUUAACUACUUCUCUCUUGUGUACGAGUGGCCCAAAGAUCUUUUAACUCGUCUGGUAUUCGAGAGGGGUAGCACAGAUGCAGCUGGAAAGGUAGCAGAAAUUAUGUCUGCUGAUUUUGUCCAUGAAGUAAUUUCUGCAUGUGUACCUCCAGUAUAUCCUCCUCGAUCUGGUCAUGGAUGGGCAUGUAUCCCAGUAGUUCCCACAAGUCCAAAUGGCUACCCUGAACGUUCAUUACUUUCCCCUUCAUCUGGAGAAGCUAAGCCAAAUUGUUACAGCCGUUCUUCGUCCAUACCAGGAGUUUCUCUGUACCCUCUUCAGUUGGAUGUAGUGAAGCACCUUGUCAAGUUAUCACCAGUGAGGGCUGUCUUGGCAUGUGUUUUCGGAAGUAGUAUAUUAUACCGCGAUAGUGACACCACUAUUAGUUCCAUGAACAAUAAUGUUCUGCAGACACCUGAUGCUGACAGGUUAUUCUAUGAAUUUGCUCUUGACCAGUCAGAAAGAUUUCCGACUUUGAACCGCUGGAUACAAAUGCAGAGUAACCUCCAUCGAGUGUCAGAAUAUGCUGUACUGGCUGAGCAGGAAAUUGGGGAAGAUGUAGAUAAAAGUGAAGCAACAACUUCUAUUAAGCGAUUCCGCGAGAAUGAUGGUGAUUCUGAAUCAGAAAUUGAUGAGAUAGCUGUUAGUGAUAAAUCUACACUGCUGCCAGACAUUAUAAAUAAAGGAAAUGCUGUUUCUGAUCCUUUGCUCGACUCGCUCAAGCCAGAAGGGGACAAAGUUGAUACAACAGUUUUCCUUUCCUUCGACGGGGAAAAUGAAGCGCCCUAUGAAAGAGCUGUUGAGAGAUUAAUCGAUGAAGAAAACUUAAUGGAUGCUCUUGCUCUUUCGGAUCGUUGCCUAAGAAAUGGAGCUUCAGAUCAUUUACUUCAGCUACUUAUUGAACACGGUGAGAACAAUCCGUCAUCAUCUGGAGAGUCUCAAGGUUUUGCUAGUCCUGGGUUAUGGAGCAGUAGUUGGCAAUAUUGUUUGCGUUUAAAGGAUAAACAACUCGCUGCUAAACUUGCCCUCAGAUAUCUGCACAGCUGGGAGCUGGAUGCUGCUUUGGAUGUUCUUACUAUGUGCAGUUGCCACUUGAUUGAAAGUGAUCCUAUUAAGAAAGAGGUUGUUUCAAUGCGGCAAUCGUUGCUGAGAUACAAACAUAUAUUACGCGUUGACAAUCUACAUGAGAGUUGGCAAGAGGUUGAGGCAGAGUGUCAGGAAGAUCCUGAAGGUCUUGCUCUUAGACUGGCUGGAAAAGGAGCUGUCUCAGCAGCUUUAGAGGUAGCUGAAAGUUCAGGACUAUCGAUCGAUUUAAGGAGGGAGCUGCAGGGUCGUCAGCUUGUAAAACUUCUUACAGCAGAUCCGCUUAAUGGUGGCGGUCCAGCAGAAGCUUCACGCUUUCUUUCGUCCUUGCGUGAUACUGAUGAUGCUUUACCAGUUGCGAUGGGCGCAAUGCAGCUUUUGCCCAAUUUGAGAUCUAAGCAGCUUCUCGUUCACUUUUUCUUGAAGAGAAGGGAUGGUAAAUUGUCAGAAGUUGAAGUUUCUAGACUCAACUCUUGGGCAUUAGGUCUUCGUGUGUUGGCUGCUUUGCCAUUACCAUGGCAGCAAAGGUGCUCUUCCCUCCAUGAGCACCCUCAUUUAAUUCUGGAGGUUCUUUUGAUGCGGAAACAAUUUCAGUCGGCCUCACUGAUACUUAAAGAAUUUCCUUCGUUGAGAGAUAAUAGCAGCCUGAUUGCUUAUGCUGCGAAAGCUAUAGCUGUCAGUAUAUCCUCUCCAUCCCGAGAGCAUAGGAUACCUUUUUCAGGAGCAAGACCAAAACAGAAGACGAGAACAGGCACACCCACAAAAUCGUCUUUUACUAAUGGCUUAAGUAACUUGCAAAAAGAGGCGCGACGAGCAUUUUCUUGGACACCGCGUAAUACUAUUGAUAAAACUGCUCCAAAAGAUGUUUAUAGAAAAAGAAAAACCUCUGGAUUACCACAAUCUGAAAGAGUUGCUUGGGAGGCAAUGACUGGUAUCCAGGAAGAAGGUGCUUCAUUACACUCUACUGAUGGUCAAGAACGACCUUCUGUCUCUAUCGCCGAGGAGUGGAUGCUAACCGGUGAUCCUAUAAAGGAUGAAGGAGUUCGUUCUUCUCAUCGAUAUGAAAGUGCCCCUGACAUCAUUCUCUUCAAGGCACUGCUUUCUUUGUGUUCGGAUGAAACUGUAUCAGCCAAAGGUGCUAUGGAGUUGUGCAUUAAUCAGAUGAAAAAUGUCUUGAGCUCCAAGCAAUUGCCAGAGAAUGCAUCAAUGGAAAUCAUUGGUCGAGCUUAUCGUGCUACUGAGACAUUUGUUCAGGGACUUAUUUUCGCAAAAUCUCAGCUCAGGAAAAUAUCUGGGAGUACUGACUUUGUAAGUAACUUGGAAAGAAAUAGGGAUAUUGAUGAUGCAUCUUCUGAUGCCGGCAGCUCUAGUGUGGGCAGUCAGUCAACUGAUGAACUUUCUGAAGUUUUGUCACAAGCAGAUGUGUGGUUAAGACGUGCUGAGCUCCUUCAAAGCCUUCUAGGAUCUGGAAUAGCUGUCUCCCUUGAUGAUAUUGCUGAUAAGGGGUCUUCUGAACAUUUAAGGGACCGGCUGGUUUUAGAUGAACGAUACAGCAUGGCUGUAUAUACUUGCAGGAAGUGUAAGAUCGAUAUAUUCCCUGUUUGGAAUGCUUGGGGUCAUGCUUUGAUUCGGAUGGAACACUAUGCACAAGCACGCGUUAAAUUCAAGCAAGCACUUCAAUUGCAUAAAGGUGAUCCUACACCUGCGAUUCUGGAGAUCAUUAAUACAAUUGAAGGAGGUCCACCAGCUGACGUUUCUUCUGUGCGUUCCAUGUAUGAACAUUUGGCUAGAAGCGCACCAGCAAUAUUGGAUGAUUCUCUUUCUGCCGAUUCUUAUCUAAAUGUUUUGUACAUGCCAUCAACCUUUCCUCGUUCGGAAAGAUCCAGGAGAUCCCAAGAAGCUGCAAAUGAUAAUACGAAUUACAGUUCAGAUUUUGAAGAUGGACCUCGUAGUAACUUAGACAGCAUUAGAUAUGCCGAAUGUGUUAACUAUCUACAGGAUUAUGCACGACAGCAUUUGCUUAGCUUUAUGUUCAAACAUGGGCACUUCAAAGAUGCUUGCUUCUUGUUCUUUCCUCCGAAUGCUGUUCCUUCUCCUCCCCAACCAUCAUCACUUGGCUUGGUUACUUCAUCAUCUUCCCCUCAGAGACCAGACCCUUUGGCUACUGAUUAUGGAAUUAUUGAUGACUUGUGUGAUUUGUGUGUUGCUUAUGGUGCAAUGCCUGUUUUGGAAGAAGUAUUGUCAUCAAGAAUGUCUUCAGCGGCAUCAGAAGAUGUGUCUGUGAAUCAGCAUACAGUGGCCGCACUUGCUCGCAUCUGUACCUAUUGUGAAACUCAUAAGCAUUUUAAUUUUCUAUACAAUUUCCAGGUUAUCAAGAAGGACCAUGUGGCUGCUGGGCUUUGCUGCAUUCAGUUAUUUAUGAACUCUUCUUCUCAAGAGGAAGCUAUAGCACACUUGGAACAUGCCAAGAUGCAUUUUGAUGAAGGUUUGUCUGCACGAUCAAAAGUAGGAGACUCCACAAAACUUGUGACCAAAGGCGUCCGUGGCAAAAGUGCAUCAGAAAAGCUCUCUAAGCUCUCUGAGGAAGGACUUGUCAAGUUCUCUGCUCGCUUAGCCAUACAGGUGGAUGUUGUAAAAUCAUUUCAUGAUGCAGAUGGAUCACAGUGGAAGCACUCUUUAUUUGGAAAUCCAAAUGACCCAGAAACUUUCAGUGGCCAGCGUGUAUAUACACACGUGUGUGUAUGUAUGUAUAUACAUACGAGACGGAGUCAGUAACAAAGAAAGAUAAAUGGAGAAAAGCUUACCGGAUUGCCUCCACCGCCAACUGAGAAAGAGAUGAAGUCGCCAUUGCAGAUGAGUUUAAGAGAGGAGAAGGUGUGUAAUUGCUGAGGCAUUGGUGGAGAAGAAUUUCGACCUGGCCUUCCAAGUGAUAUAUGAGUUCACUCUUCCUGCUGUUGAUAUCUAUGCUGGAGUGGCUGCAUCACUUGCCGAGCGGAAAAAGGGAGGGCAACUGACAGAAUUUUUCAGAAACAUUAAAGGCACAAUUGAAGAUGAUGAAUGGGACCAGGUUUUAGGGGCAGCAAUUAAUGUCUACGCUAAUAAACAUAAGGAACGACCAGAUCGCCUCAUUGACAUGUUGACUAGUAGUCACAGGAAGGUGUUGGCUUGUGUUGUCUGUGGCCGUCUUAAGAGUGCCUUCCAGAUUGCUUCUCGAAGUGGAAGUGUGGCAGACGUUCAAUAUGUUGCACAUCAGGCAUUGCAUGCAAAUGCUCUUCCUGUUCUUGAUAUGUGCAAGCAGUGGUUAGCUCAGUACAUGUAAAUUACUCGAUGAGAGUCAACUAUCAAAUAUUAAUGCUCUGCACUGUGCAAUAUUCAAGAAGGUUACUGUUGUGCAGCUUUCAACAAACAUGGAUAAAUGGGAAGGUCUAUAAAUUGAAUAGACCUUAACUGCUAACGAGUGCUGUUUGGGCCUAGAUUCAGUAUGCACCAUGGUUCUUUUGUGCAUCUCUGGGCCCUUCAAUUUCAGCCAUUGCUAUUAAUCCUGUUCUUGAACGUCCUCUAAUAUUCAAAGCGUAUAUGGAACUUUUUUGGCAGUUGUCCAUUGUGUACAUAUGAGCUGUAAUUUUAUACCAGGGAACCAUUAGAUCCCAUAAGCCGGCAAUCAUGCAAUUUUUUAUCAUUACAGCUAUAGAGUCCUUGUUUGUACACUCAGUAUCAGAUGUAACAGCAUUUUGGCCAAAUAUUGCCGGAGUGCUCAAAUAGUUUUGUAAAUAAUUAAUUAUAUUAUGUGACAUAGUACUGAGGUUUUAGGCAACUCUCAUUCAGUUUUAUUAAUAUAGUUUUGUACUACAGAAUAACAUAACCUAAAAUGUUUGUAUUAAAGCUAAUUGCUUUUGCACUC